This is a long non-coding RNA of Rosa rugosa (rugosa rose), 2720 nucleotides long. RefSeq lists it as uncharacterized. The transcript is spliced from 3 exons. Lineage: Eukaryota; Viridiplantae; Streptophyta; Magnoliopsida; Rosales; Rosaceae. The record is from RefSeq and is a predicted model, not a curated record.
UUUUCUCUCCCUCUUCCCCCGCGUCGCCCUCUCUCCUUCUUUUUCUGAUUUCUUCACCGUCCGGCGUCCGAUGGACGUGAUUCCAGUUGUCCUUGGACCGUCUCUUCCUCCUCUACACGAUGGUACCAGUGGGUAUCGGCGAUUUGGCCGGCAAACCCCGAAUUUAUGCAAGCAUUGUUACUGUAGCAGUUUGCUUCUCCGGCGAAAUUCUCCAGUUUCCGGCUAUCUUCGGCGGUGAAAUUGGCUCUAUUAGGAGCGCCUCGGGUCACUGAUCAUCUUCCCUCAAGACUUCUAGUUGGAAUUUCCACGUUUGGAAGGUGAAUUUGAAGGAUUUCCAAAUUUGUGGGUUUGGAGAUUUCCGGGUUUGUGUUCAUCGGCAAAAUUGGAGCAUUUCAAGGGCGAUAUACCGAACUAUUGCUCGAUGAAGGAACUCGUAUGCGUGAUCGCCUAAAUAGUACUUUUGCAGGCCAGUUUAGCUUGAGGUCGAGCGUACUUGGGGUUGAGGCAUAGCUGUCAUAGCUUCCGCAUUAUAAAAGUAUCGGUCAUUUAUCUUGCUUUCUAUUCUCUUGUUCGCUUGUACAUUAGAUUGCUCUGAUAACCUAUGAGAUUAAUAUUCUUAAAUUCAGAAUUGUUUAUGAAAUGAGAGAUGUGAGAUGUUGUGAUAUAGGGAGCAGGGUGGCUCCAGGAAAAUAAGGAUGGAUGAUUUGGAAGUGUGGAUGUUUUUCUACAGGUUUUGGGUUGUCCAUUUUUAGGGGAAGUUCUGUCAAAUUGUUGGUAGAAUUUCUUCUAAAGUGGGCCCCGCAGGGCCUCUUCGGAUUUCAGGGUGAAAUCCGGGGCGGGUCCUGUCAGUUGGUAUCAGAGCAUUAGGUUGUAAGAUUCUGUAGACUUGUUUCGAUCUAGUUACCUUAUAUGCUUGAUGUUGCUCAGUACCUCCCGAGUGAUGGCCCGACUGCAGCGGUUCCCCAUCGUUUACUCUUCGGUGCUGAAGUAUUCAUCAAGUGUGUAAGGUACAUGGUUAGUGAUUUUCCUUCAGGUGCUAUGCCUCUUAUACGCCGACCUCAUAGGGAUUUCUCUGCGUAUCAGGUUGAUUAUGUGUCUUGCACCUUUUCCUGGUGAUUGUGAUGUUAGAUUACCUUAAAGGUUUGAGUUAUGCUCCGAAAUGUGAUCCGAGGGAAUGUGGUGGUUAUCUCUCCCUCGAUGCCAACAAGUUUGUUGGGGCAAGGUUUAAGGUGCAAGACUGGAGUUCGAUUUUGUGUUUGAUUGUUAGAGAUGAGUGGACAUAGCUUUGGGCUGUCUCUGUUUGCUAUAAAUUGCUUUGGAAUCAGAAUUGUUGAUGGAAAUGGAACUAGUAAUAUUAGUGGUUCUGACGUUGAACCAAGUUUCAGGAGUUAUGUUACAUGAGAUGAUAUGUUAUAUAAGCGACAUUUGGAAUAUCAUUGACAGUUGUUGGAGAUUACUUGGUAAUCACGACUGGUUAUCUUGGGCCUUUGACCUAACCAUGAUAUUUGGAUUUCGUUUUGUCCGGAUUGGAAGAAAUUGAUUUUAGAUACAUUGACUUAUAAUUGAUCCUUUUGAAGUUUUGGAUCGUAUUGAGUAAGAAGAUAGACAGAAUUUAAGUUUGAUAUAGUUUUAUGUUUGAAACUUGAGUAUUUAGUUGGACGCAUAGAGCUUUACAAUCGAGUUACGAUCUUUGCCAGUAUUUAAUUGAGAAGAUUAGAAACAACUUUUGUGUAUGAGAUUGUACCGAUGUGUGUACUUGGUUAUCCGUUUUUGGCUGUAAUGGUUGUACCUAAAAUCGGAGAAUAGUGGUAGUGAUAUCGUUGGGUAUUCAUAAUAGUGCAAGUGGAAUUUACUUGUGAUAUUGAGUAUGAUUCGAGUUAUAAAUUGUGGAGCCUUCAAGAUUAAUUGUGAUAGAUUCUUGGUGAAGUUUUUGCUAGACAGUUGGAUUGUGAUAUUGUAAGAGUGGUUAGUGGAAUAACUUUGAGGAAAUAAGUUUCCUAGUUGGCUCCGGAAAUACUUCUAAUUAAGGUUUGACCAGAAUUCUUGUUAUAUGUGGGUCAAACGUAAUGCGGUUUGUCUUGGCAGUGACGUAUUUCAACAGUGAUUAAAUGGAGGAAUUGGAUCACCAUGUGGUUGGAUUAAAUUUCAGAUCCAGGUACUGCUUGGUGUGAUACGAGAUGUUGGACGGGUGUCUGUUUUGCAUCAAGGUUGUUGUUCGAGGAAAGAUUCUGUGAACGGUGUUUUAUCAUCUAGGAAAAUUGGUUGUUGCUUGAGUUGAAUACGUAUAUUAACAGUUUGCUUUUGAGGAAUUAAGUGAGUUUUACUACCUUGGUACCGUUGUUGGUGGUAAUGGGUUAAACAGUUUGAAAUUUAAUUUUUACUUUGAUCGAUCUUUCUACCGUAUGGUGGCCUUGAUUGGAGAAGUAUAGAAAGUUGUUGGUACGAUUGAUAUUCGGUCACCAUCACGGGUUUAUAGGUACGAUGACUUAGCAAGAUGUUGGAGUUGAGUUUGAAAAUUAAUUGUUUGGACUUGGGUUUUAUCAAAGGUUUCAACCGACACUUGAAGUAUUAACUGUUGAGCUACUAUGGUUGAGAUGUGUUGUUGGAUUAAUGCUUAGCGAGAUGAGGAUUGAGAAAUUUUGGUGCAAUCUUAGUUAGCGCAGAUUAGUUUUUGAAAUUGUUGUUGUAGCUGGAAUAUUAUUGAAUAAGUGUUGUUAGAG